CAUAAGCGCACUUGAACGAUACACUUUGUUGAUAAUUGAUACAUGCAUGUUUGAAAUAUAAUACAAAAGCUGAUAAGUAUAAGCACGGUGAGGAUAUGUACACCGGAUAUUGCCAUUUAGUGAAAAGAUAUUUUCCGGAAACGUGUUUAUUUUUCGUCAACAAGACAUGGGCUCUGCUAGUAGCAGUUUGGAUUCCAUAGGACCAAGUAACUUAAAGAAGAUUUUGUCGAUAGGAAAGGAAGAAAUAGUAGAAGUGUAUGCAUAUAAAACUCCGCUUUCAGACUGGCAGAUUACUGACUUCAUCAUUCAUCAUCAAUUUAUAGUCCUCAGAACAAAUAAGAAUAACUGGUUUACAAUUGAAAAGAAUACCAAAGGUGUACUGACACAGAAACACCAAAGCUUGGAAGAAAUAAAGAGAAAAAGAAGUCACAGACUAACCCUUAUAAAGAAAGACCGUGUUCGUGAAACUCUGUAUCAAUUUCGGAAAUGGCUUUCCGACAUCUCCGUUGAAAGAAAUGCUGAUUAUCAUGUUUUAACUAAUAAUUGCAAGGCUUUUGCGAAAGAGACGUAUAAUCAUUUUGUCAUCUCUACAGACUUGUAAAGUGUUUUUUAUUACUUUCAAAACUGGUUAUAGAGAUAGUAGUUAAAACUUCAAAUUCGUUUUUACAGGAUUAUUUUUCAUUGUGAAAUGAUAGUAAAGUGAACCAACUUACUAAA
Molecule: long non-coding RNA, 717 nt
Organism: Mercenaria mercenaria
Lineage: Eukaryota; Metazoa; Mollusca; Bivalvia; Venerida; Veneridae
Exons: 2
Source: RefSeq, a predicted model, not a curated record